AUAGGAACUUUCUGAAGAAAACGU
RNAcentral lists this non-coding RNA (24 nucleotides) under Cricetulus griseus (Chinese hamster). Lineage: Eukaryota; Metazoa; Chordata; Mammalia; Rodentia; Cricetidae. The record is from RNAcentral.